This is a long non-coding RNA of Lactuca sativa (garden lettuce), 563 nucleotides long. RefSeq lists it as uncharacterized. The record is from RefSeq and is a predicted model, not a curated record. NCBI's taxonomy places the organism in Eukaryota, Viridiplantae, Streptophyta, Magnoliopsida, Asterales, Asteraceae.
CAAGACUGUGAGUAGGAGUCUGGUUCUCGUCUUUCCUGUCGCUGCCUAGAAAGACGAAAGGUCAAGUUGAAGAAGACGAUGAGUCGAUUGGUUUUUCCGAUCAUCGAUUUGUCAAGAGGCACUUAUGUGGAUAGAUAUCGAAUUGGUUGUGGAUUCUCCAAUUCCUGAUUUCUAGGACUGCAAUCUAAAGAGUCCUAAGAGAAAAGAGGGGUUUUCUAAAUUUCUGAUUGGUUGAUAAUUAGACUCAAGGACUAAGGAGUUUUUUUUUAGUUUAGAGUUUGGUGGAGCUAUAUACUUUGCAAGUAUUUAGAAAAAUGGAUUCUAAUUUCUGAUUAGUUUUUUUGAUUCGUUAGUUUUUCUGAUUCAUUUGUUCAGGUUGUAAUUCAUACUCCGUUCUUUCCUUAAAUAAGAAAUCAAAAAUCUUUUAGCUGUUAGAAAGAACUCCCCAAUUAUUUGAACCUGCUGUGAUUUUGAAACUACUGUGAUUUAGAAACCUGUUGUCCACUUGAUUACUUGACCAUUUGGAUAUUUGGAUAGGAGAUUUGGAGUUCAAAGCAACUUCC